UACGGGGGGGGCAAGCGUUGUUCGGAAUUACUGGGCGUAAAGGGCCCGUAGGCGGCCAACUAAGUCCGACGUGAAAUCCCAAGGCUUAACCUUGGAACUGCGUCGGAUACUGGAUGGCUUGAAUUCGGGAGAGGGAUGCAGAAUUCCAGGUGUAGCGGUGAAAUGCGUAGAUAUCUGGAGGAAUACCGGUGGCGAAGGCGGCAUCCUGGACCGACAUUGACGCUGAACGGCAAAAGCUAGGGGAGCAAACGGG
RNAcentral lists this ribosomal RNA (253 nucleotides) under uncultured bacterium. RNAcentral's name for it is "partial 16S ribosomal RNA". It matches the Rfam family "Bacterial small subunit ribosomal RNA", at positions 524 to 776 of the family's 1533-position model. The record is from RNAcentral.